UUCAAGUUUGUAAACUAAUCCAAUUUUGGGUUUUUUCAGCUUGUUGCGGGACUUUUGGGUGUGGAAUCCGGUCAAGAUGCUAUAAUCAGAGGGUUAUUAUACGAGAGGCUAAAUACGACAGUAAGACCUUAUGAGAUAACAAUUGCAGAGUUCACUGAUCGCAUAUCUAAUCUAAGGAACAAGCUUGGUGGAGCAGGGUUGAAAGAUGAAGGCCUUGUGGUUCCUAAAGAACUGGGUGCCGAAGGCAAGAUCGAGGGAAAUACACUUGCAGGAGACAAAUACUCGGUUUCCUAUGAAAGGACACCUGAAGAAAUUCUUAAAAUUGUCUAUGGAACUGGAAAUGAAUCAAUUCCUGGUGGUUUUUAUCCAAAGGGAGCUAACGGUGCCAUUGCGAAAUCUUAUUUAUCUACCGCAAACUACUAAAAGUGGGAAACCUGACAGUUUUAAGUUACCACUGUCAAUUUAAGCAACUAUCUUGUGUGAUUAAUGUUGUUCUUUUGAGUCGAUAAUUAUGUCAUUUCAUAUCUUCUACGUAUCUUGUCUUUUUGACUAUUUAAUCCUACUCGUUUAUAAAUGUACAAGUUGUCAUAUAAAUAAUUCGAGAUAACCAAUAAAGUUAAGAAUCUGCAUUAAACAUAUAAAAAUUUCAUAUUCACAAUUCAACCAUUUGCGACACAAAAAUAAAAAGGGCAACCGUAAAGUUUGAUGCGCUUAAAACCAUAAUGCACUUGCAAUCAGGUACUUUUAAUUGUUGACUCAGUCAAUCAACAAGGGCUACAAAUCUGUACACAGCUAAAAGUUGAUGACUAACAAAAGGCUUUUGGCCACGUUUGCAUUCAUAUAUGAAGUAAAGAUCUUGGCAGAUUGCACAUCAAAUUGAUUUUAUGUAGUCUCAAUAAAAAAUUUUAUAUAUACCAUGAGUUUUUAUGCAUAAUUUUAUUGAACAUUUCUGUAAGAAUUUAAAGUUACAAUUUUUUUUCAAUACUAUAAUGUAGAUCUAGUAAAAAAAAAAAGUGCGGCAUUUUUCAUGUUUCUUAGACAAAUUUCAAUUUAUGAUUUUUAAUACGAUUGAAUUGAAGAAUUCUCAAAUAUAAUGUUAAGAGUCCUUUGCUAUUCGAAAUUCUUCCAUUGCUAACCAUAGCCUUUUGUAUUCUUUUAAGUUUUUCUUCUUAUUAAGUCGGUAGAUUCUUUCUCUUCUUUUUCUCUUUUUUUUACCCAAAAAACAUCAACCCUAUUUUAAUUAGAGCUAGAUUUCAUAGGUUUUUUUUUUUUAAAUUAAUUUCCCUAACCGCAUUAAGUAUGCACCACUAAGUUUCAUAUUUAUUCCCUAAUUUACGCAAAUUCAAAAGACAAAUUAUUCCAAUAUACUUGCAAAUUCAAUACCCUAAUUUUUUGAGGUGAAAAAUAUUUUGAGCUAUUAACUGCAAUUUUUUAGUUUAUUUUUCUUAAAAUAUAUAAUCAACUUAGUCGGAUUCAAACAAAAAAAAAAUUCAUUGAAACAGACUCAAUUUCGAUGUUAUGAUUAUCUAAAGUUUUAAAUACCAAAAAUUAUAUGGUUUUGUAGGUCAUGUUAAAAGCGUAUUUUUACUUUGCAUUUGGCAUGCCAAAAGUAUUUUGAGUUGUACUCCUUUGGUUGCACAAAUGCUUUUAAAGCACAAAAAUCAAAGCCGAAAGUUCAACCAAAUGGGGUCUAAUAUAUAUUUAUAUAUGUUAAUUAGGUAAAUACUAUUUGUAGCAUAUAUUAUUAAUUAAUUUAUUUUGUUAAAUAGGUCAUGAAAAGAUUGUAUUUUUCAUUGAUAAGUAAGAUAAAAGAGUUUUUCCUUUUAGAGACACAAUACAACCUAAAAAGGAAAAUAAAUUUACAGUUAUAAAUAUACAAAAAUAAACCUUGAUUUCUAGGAAGAAAAUCAUAUCCCCGUAAUUAUAAAAUAUACGGUCAUGGAUUCUCAACACUCUCCUUCAAGCUGCCUGAAAGUCGUCAUUAAUAGCCAGCUUGUUCACCAAUUUUAUCAAAUUGCUUCUUCAGUAAGCCUUUAGAGAGUACUGCUACUUGUUCAAACAUAGAAAUAUAGGACAUAACAACGAACCCAAUUUCCAAUUUCUCCUUAAUAAAGUAUGUGUUAACUUCAAGAUACUUAGUUCUAUCAUGGAGUAUUAGAUCAUGUGCUAUUGCAAUGGUGACUUUAUUAUCACAAAAAACUUCCAUGGAUAAGGGACUAGUAGCUUUUAAGUUCUUCAAGAAACUAUUUAAUCCAUAAAGCUUCACAUAUACAAUGUGCCACCAUCGUAAACUCUGCUUCAACACUAUUUCUAGCCACCAUAUUCAGUUUUUUCUAAGCCAAGUUGUAAGAUUUCCUCUAACAAAAGUACAAUACCCGAAGUUGAUCUUCUGUUUUACUUCCUUUGAAUCAUGGGCAAAGGCUCCCUUCGCUAGGGUCAUACCUACACAUGAAUGGAUGAAUUAUUGUCAUAUCUUAAAUUUGUAAUCAAAUCAAAAUGAUCAUCAUUUCUUUAAUUUACUUGCCAAAACAAUAUAUUUCAAGCCAAAAGAAAAAGAACACCCUAAUAAUUAAUUUUGACUCCAGAAGGAACCUUACGUGUAAAAAAUAUUCAAUUUCCAUUAUUUUUUUAAUUAUUUUUAUUAUUUACCUUGUAAGUAAUAUACUUGUCUCAUUUACAUAACAAUUAAGUAUUCAAGUCCAAAUCCUCAUGUUCCAUUUCUAAUAGAUAUUGUAAAUAGAGAUAUGUAUAUGUAAGCCUAUAAAUACAUGUGACAAAACACUUCAUACAUCACCAACCACUAAGAAAAAACAAUGGCAGUCACCUUCUUUGCUACAUUGAUCUGUGUUCUUGUUCUGCAAUCCUUCUUCUUAAAGAUCAACUCGAGCCCAUAUGGUUCCGAUGUGCCAAAAGGUGAUAAGGAUUUGUUAGAGUUUCCAUUGAAUCUGGAGUACUUAGAGGCUGAGUUUUUCUUGUAUGGCUCAUUAGGGUAUGGGUUGGACAAGGUUGCUCCCCAGUUGACUUUGGGAGGCCCUGCUCCUAUUGGUGCCAAAAAGGCCAAUCUUGAUCCCAUUACAAGAGAUAUUAUAGAGCAAUUUGCAUGGCAAGAAGUUGGACACUUAAGGUAUCGUAUCUGCAUUUUUCACUCUUGAAUUUUGUUUAAUUAUUUGUGUUGAAUUCAUUUGGUUUGUCUUAUCUCAUUCCUUGACUUCUUCCAUUAUUUAAUAUAAAGGGCAAUUAAAUCGACUGUCAAAGGAUUUCCAAGGCCACAAUUGGAUUUGAGUGCAGGGUCAUUUGCCAAGGUGAUUAAUAGUGCAUUUGGGAAGAACUUACAGCCUCCUUUUGACCCCUAUGCCAAUAGCAUCAACUACCUUAUUGCAUCCUAUGCAAUUCCUUAUGUGGGACUUACUGGAUAUGUGGGAGCAAGUCCCAGACUCCAAGGUGCUACUUCAAAAAGGGUAAGCUCCUAAUAUAUAACGAGGAAAGAAAUCAAUAACAUUCUUAAUUCAUAAAUGAUAUUUAAAUCAACUUAUUCUAUAAUUUUUUUCUUUUACUUGUCAAAUAAUUAUCCAAUUAUCUGUUGCAUACAGCUUGUUGCGGGGCUUUUAGGCGUGGAGUCUGGCCAAGAUGCUGUAAUCAGAGGGCUUUUAUAUGAGAAGUCAAAUCUGAAAGUGAUGCCUUAUGGGAUAACAGUUGCAGAGUUUACCAAUCGCAUCUCUGAUCUAAGGAACAAGCUUGGCAAAACAGGGUUGAAAGAUGAAGGCCUUGUGGUCCCUAAACAACUAGGUGCUGAGGGCAAGAUCCAGGGAAAUUCUCUUGCUGGUGACAAAUACUCGGUUGCCUACGAUAGAACACCUGAAGAAAUUCUUAGAAUUGUCUAUGGAAGUGGCAAUGAAGCCACACCUGGUGGUUUCUAUCCAAAGGGAGCUGAUGGUGCCAUUGCUAAAUCUUAUCUACACACUGCAAACCAUUAAUAGUGUGAAACCUGGCUGUUUUAUGUUAUCACCAUCCAUUUAAACAAUUAUGUUUUGUGUAUAAUGUUGUUUACGAUCGUGACAACACUAAACUGAGCCAAUAAUUGUGACAUUUUAUUCCAUUUAUGCAUCUUGAAUUUUGAAUUAUAAACCCUUAUUUAAUCAUAUACAAUAAGCAUCAUUAGUUCUUUUCUUGUAUGAUGUUGACUAAAAAAUCAUUUUCUAAUUAGACUCUUAUCACAGAGAGAACGGUCCAUAGAUGUACAAGUUAUCAUAUAUCUAGACUAAAAUAACCAGUAAACUUAAAAUCUGAAUAAAUAUAUAAGAAUCGUAGGUUCGUAACUCAAAUCACUCGAUUUAGCAUCAACUAUUUUCUAAUUUUAUAUAUUAUCAGUAUAGAGAAGCAAUCAAGAUUGUCAAAUCAUUUUACUCAGGUUGGGAGAAAAACCUUUCAUGGAAUUAUCUGAUGCAAUUAACUCACAGUAACGACAUGCAGAAGAGGAACUUCUACUUAGACCUGUCAAUUUCAAAAGAUUAUAAAACCAAAAAUAAUAUAGUUAAAUUAUAUCUGGAUCAAAUUGAAAUUGCAAAUAAUUUUGGUAAACAAGGUGCUUCGAGCCUGCUAGACAUGGGAAUGAGAUUCCUGUUGGUUUGUUGAUUAAAUAAUUUAUAUUUCUCUAUAUUUCUUACGUGCAUCUGUAAGUUAUUUUGAACUUUUCGAGAAAUGAUCGCGUCAUUUGCAAGAAUGAUAAUUCUUCUAAGUUAAAACUUUUGAGUAUUUCAUUAUCACUUAAAGUCAAGCAUACAGCCCGUGCAUCUUACAGUUGUACAUUUUUUAAGCAAAAAUUUUCAAAUGAAUAAUCUCAUUUCUUUUAAGCAACUUCACUACACAAGAGUCCUAUCUAAAUACCCAUUUUGGGAAUUCUACAACUAAAAUUUAAAACAAGAAAAAGAAUUUACCAGCAUAUGUGGGGGGGUUUGGAUCAUUAUUAUUAUUCUUAUGAUAUUAUUGUUACAAUAAACUUUUGACCUCAAAAAAAAAUAAUAGUAUUAUUAUAAUAAAUUUUAAACUAAUUGUUCAUGAUCGUAAUUAAAGAGUAUUUAUAGUAACCAAAUAUUAUUAUUAGUAUUAUUAUUAUUACAGCUAUUAUCACGUUAUAUCACCAUGAUCGUUAUUAUUAUUAUUAUUACUAUUAUUGUAAACUAUUACUAAUAAAUGAGCCAAUCGUUUUACGUGAAAUACAUGCUAUUUUGUAUUAUUGUCAUUUUAAUCAAAUCAAAAUGACCAUCAUUUCUCUACUUACUAAAACAAUUCAUUUCAAGACAAAAAAAGAAUAUCAUAAUAAUUAAUUUUAACUCCAAAAAGAACCUUACGUAUCCAAAAUUUCUUAUUUCUUGUUGUUCUAAUUAUUUUUAUUAUUUACCCUGCAAGUAAUAUACUUGUCUCAUAUGCAUUACAGUUAAUUAUUCGAUUCCCAAAUCCCCAUGUUCCAUUUCUAAUAGAUCUUGUACAUAGACAUAUGUAUAUGUAAACCUAUAAAUACAUGUGACAAAACACUUCAUACAACACCAACCACUAAGCAAAAACAAUGGCAGUCACCUUCUUUGCUCCAUUGAUAUGUGUUCUUGUUCUGCAAUCCUUCUUCUUAAAGAUCAGCUCAAGCCUAUAUGGUUCCGAUGUGCCAAAAGACGAUAAGGAUUUGUUAGAGUUCCCAUUGAAUCUGGAGUACUUGGAGGCUGAGUUUUUCUUGUAUGGCUCAUUAGGGUAUGGGUUGGACAAGGUUGCUCCCCAGUUGACCUUGGGAGGCCCUGCUCCUAUUGGUGCCAAAAAGGCCAAUCUUGAUCCCAUUACAAGAGAUAUUAUAGAGCAAUUUGCAUGGCAGGAAGUUGGACACCUAAGGUAUCGAAUCCGCAUUUUCCAAUCUUGAAUUUUCUUUAACUAUUUGUGUUGAAUUUAUUUGGUUUUAGUCUUAUCUCAUCCCUUGACUUGUUUCAUUAUUUAAUAUGAAGGGCAAUUAAGACGACUGUCAAAGGAUUUCCAAGGCCACAAUUGGAUUUGAGUGCAAGGUCAUUUGCCAAUGUGAUUAAUAGUGCAUUUGGGAAGAACUUACAGCCUCCUUUUGACCCCUAUGCCAAUAGCAUCAACUACCUUAUUGCAUCCUAUGCAAUUCCUUAUGUUGGACUUACUGGAUAUGUGGGAGCAAGUCCCAGACUCCAAGGUGCUACUUCAAAAAGGGUAAGCCCCUAAUAUAUAACGAGGGAAAAAAUCAAUAACAUUCCUAAUUCAUAAGUGAUAUUUAAAUCAACUUAUUCUAUAAUUUUUUCUUUUGCUUGUCAAAUAAUUAUCUAAUUAUCUGUUGCGUACAGCUUGUUGCGGGGCUUUUAGGCGUGGAGUCUGGCCAAGAUGCUGUAAUCAGAGGGCUUUUAUAUGAGAAGUCAAAUCUGAAAGUGAAGCCUUAUGGGAUAACAGUUGCAGAGUUUACUAAUCGCAUCUCUGAUCUAAGGAACAAGCUUGGCAAAGCAGGGUUGAAAGAUGAAGGCCUUGUGGUCCCUAAACAACUGGGUGCUGAGGGCAAGAUCCAGGGAAAUUCUCUCGCUGGUGACAAAUACUCGGUUGCCUAUGAUAGGACACCUGAAGAAAUUCUUAGAAUUGUCUAUGGAAGUGGCAAUGAAGCCACACCUGGUGGUUUCUAUCCAAAGGGAGCUGAUGGUGCCAUUGCUAAAUCUUAUCUACACACUGCAAACCAUUAAUAGUGUGAAACUUGGCAGUUUUAUGUUAUCACUAUCCAUUUAAACAAUUAUGUUUUGUGUAUAAUGUUGUUGUCGAUCAUGACAACACUAAACUGAGCCAAUAAUUGUGACGUUUUAUCCCAUUUAUGUAUCUUGUAGUUUGAAUUAUAAACCUUUAUUUAAUCGUAUACAAUAAGUAUCAUUAGUUUUUUUCUUGUAUGAUGUUGACUAAAAAAUCAUCUUCUAAAUAUAGACUCUUAUCACAAAGAGACUACUGUAUAAAUGUACAAGUUGUCACAUAAAUAAUCUAAAAUAAUCAAUAAACUUAAAAUCUGGAUUAAUAUAUAAGAAUCUCAAGUUCGCAAUUCAAAUCACUUAAUCUGGCAUCAACCAUUUUCUAAUUUCAUAUAUGAUCAGUAAAGAGAAGUAGUCGAGAUUAUCAAAUCAUUUCACUCAGGUUGGGAGAAACACUUUUCAUGGAAUCAUGUGAUGCAACGAACUCACAGUAACGAUAUGCAGAAGAGGCACUUCUGUUUAUACCUGUCAAUUUCGAAAUAUAUAAAAGAUUAUAAAAAUAAAAGAAUAAUAUAAUUAAAUCAUAUCUAGAUCAAAUUGAAGUUGCAAAUAAUUUUGUCAUACCUAAAUAAAAAAUUUGAAUCAUUCAAGAAAACCCCCCACAAUUUCAUAACCAAGACUCAUUGAUGGCCUUAUAUCAGGCCAAGGCAAAAAGAAAACAUUUACACCCACCUUCAUAGUACUAAUAUAUACUUAUACUCAAAUGUAAUUAACUCCCAAUUUUGUCCUUGCAACAAAUUCUUUCUUUUUUCUCAUAAAAUGAAACUUUUCAUCCGCUCCUUCAUAUAUAUUGAUACUAAAAUUUAGUUACCUCCAAAUUUGUCCUCACAUUAAUGUAGUUCUUGUUUUUCUUCCUCUUAAACCGCUUCAUUGUAGUACUAAUAUACAUCUAAUUAUUAGGUAAAUAAACCAUUUCAUUGUAGUACUAAUAUACAUACAAUAAUUAGGUAAAUAUACCAUUAGUAGCACAUACGUACAAGUUAUUAUAGUUCUUAUUAUUCUCUUAAGUAGUAAUGUUAUUAUCAAUGUACACAAGCCAUUGUCGUAUUAUUUUCACUUUGAUCAAUAAUAAUUUAAUAUAUAAAUGAAUUAAUUAUUAUUAUUAUUAUUAUUGUAUUUAAUAUUCCUAAACUAAAUCAAAAUUUGAUCAAUGUUUCUUCAACUCACAUCCGAAAUUUCCCAUUAAAAUUAUUUACUUUGUAAGUAAUAUAUAUAUAUAUAUACUUUCUUAAUCCAAUCACAUAUCCAAAAUUUACACUUAUUCUUGUUUCAACAAAAUUUCCAACCUUCAUUUGUUUUUACCAUUUAAUCCGUCACCUAAAUAUGGAAAGAUAAACGCUCAGUUAUUUAUUUACGCCGACAAUCUGCCGAACUGGCAAACUUCCCUCCUUAAAUCCUUAUUCACCGAUGAUAAAUAACCACAAUAAGACAGAUACCCACAUGGCAGUCCCACAAUCAGCCAAGUAUUCUAUUCCCAAAAAAUGCAAGUUCCGUUUCAAAUGCAUCUUUGUAUAUUAUACACGUUUACGUAAGCCUAUAAAUACAUAUGACAAAACCCUUCACACACCACCAACCACUAGCCAAAAAGAGAUAAUGGCACUCACCUUCUCUGCUUCAUUGAUCUGUGUUCUUGUUCUGCAAUCUUUCCUCUUAAAAAUAAACUCGCACCCAUAUGGGUCUGAUGUGCGAAAGGGUGAUAAGGAUUUGCUAGAGUUCCCGUUGAAUCUGGAGUACUUGGAGGCUGAGUUUUUUUGCCAUGGCUCAUUAGGGUAUGGGUUGGACAAGGUUGCUCCCGAGCUGACCAUGGGAGGUCCUCCUCCUAUUGGUGCCAGAAAGGCCAAUCUUGAUCCCUUAAUAAGAGAUAUCAUGGAGCAAUUUGCAUGGCAAGAAGUUGGACACUUGAGGUUUUGCAUACGCAUUGUUCAAUCUUCAGUUUUUUUUAAUUAUUUGUAUUGAAUUGCUUCGGAUUAGAUUUUUUACUUCAUUUUCGCGUAGGGCAAUUAAGUCGACGGUCAAAGGAUUUCCAAGGCCGCUGUUGGAUUUGAGUGCAGCAACAUUUGCCAAGGUGAUUAAUAGUGCAUUUGGGAAGAACUUGCGGCCUCCUUUUGAUCCUUAUGCCAAUAGCAUCAACUUCCUUACUGCAACCUACAUAAUUCCUUAUGUUGGACUUACUGGAUAUGUUGGAGCAAGUCCUAGGCUCCAAGGUGCUACUUCCAAAAGAGUAAGUCCCUAGCACAUAACAAAGAAUGAAAACCGUAAUAUUUCUAAUUCAUAAAAUGAUAUAUAGAUCAUAUUAUUUUGUAUCUUCUUUUCAAGUUUGUAAACUAAUCUAAUUUUGGGUUGUUUCAGCUUGUUGUGGGGCUUUUGGGUGUGGAAUCCGGUCAAGAUGCUAUAAUCAGAGGAUUAUUAUACGAGAGGCUAAAUACGACAGUAAGACCUUAUGAGAGAACAAUUGCAGAGUUCACUGAUCGCAUAUCUAAUCUAAGGAACAAGCUUGGUAGAGCAGGGUUGAAAGAUGAAGGCCUUGUGGUUCCUAAAGAACUGGGCGCCGAAGGCAAGAUCGAGGGAAAUACACAUGCAGGAGACAAAUACUCGGUUUCCUAUGAAAGGACACCUGAAGAAAUUCUUAGAAUUGACUAUGGAACUGGAAAUGAAUCAAUUCCUGGUGGUUUUUAUCCAAAGGGAGCUAACGGUGCCAUUGCGAAAUCUUAUUUAUCUACCGCAAACUACUAAAAGUGGGAAACCUGACAGUUUUAAGUUACCACUGUCAAUUUAAGCAACUAUCUUGUGUGAUUAAUGUUGUUCUUUUGAGUCGAUAAUUAUGUCGUUUCAUAUCUUCUACGUAUCUUGUCUUUUUGACUAUUUAAUCCUACUCGUUUAUAAAUGUACAAGU
This 9672-nucleotide long non-coding RNA is filed under the name Carica papaya (papaya). RNAcentral describes it as "long non-coding RNA (CPAP_LNC012037)". Lineage: Eukaryota; Viridiplantae; Streptophyta; Magnoliopsida; Brassicales; Caricaceae. The record is from RNAcentral.